RNAcentral lists this ribosomal RNA (497 nucleotides) under uncultured bacterium. RNAcentral's name for it is "partial 16S ribosomal RNA". It matches the Rfam family "Bacterial small subunit ribosomal RNA", at positions 28 to 507 of the family's 1533-position model. The record is from RNAcentral.
GAUGAACGCUGGCGGCGUGCCUAAUACAUGCAAGUCGAGCGAACGGACCAGAAGCUUGCUUCUCUGAUGUUAGCGGCGGACGUGCGAGUAACACGUGGAUAACCUACCUAUAAGACUGGGCUCACUUCGGGAAACCGGCGCUAAUACCGCAUGAUAUUUUGAACCGCAUGGUUCAACAGUGAAAGACGGUCUCCCUGUCACUCAUAGAUGGAUCCGCGCUGCAUUAGCUAGUUGGUAAGGUAACGGCUUACCAAGGCAACGAUGCAUAGCCGACCUCGGAGGGUGAUCGGCCACACGUGAACUGAGACACGGUGCAGAGUGCUACGGGAGGCAGCAGGCGGGAAUCUUCCGCCAUGGGCGAAAACCUGACGGAGCAUCGGCGCGCUGGUUAUGAAGGUGUCCGGAUCGUGAGACUCUGUUAUUAGGGAAGAACAUAUGUGUAAGGGACUGUGCACAUCGUGACGGUACCUUAUCAGAAAGGCACGGCUAACUACGUG